This 107-nucleotide small nuclear RNA is filed under the name Echinops telfairi (small Madagascar hedgehog). Lineage: Eukaryota; Metazoa; Chordata; Mammalia; Afrosoricida; Tenrecidae. The record is from RNAcentral.
GUGCUCCCUUCGGCAGCACAUAUACUAGCAUUGGAAUGAUACAGAGAAGAUUAGCAUGGCCCCUGCGGAAGGAUGACACACAAAAUCGUGAAGCGUUCCAUAUUUAA